This 447-nucleotide ribosomal RNA is filed under the name uncultured bacterium. Its description in RNAcentral is "partial 16S ribosomal RNA". It matches the Rfam family "Bacterial small subunit ribosomal RNA", at positions 29 to 523 of the family's 1533-position model. The record is from RNAcentral.
AACGAACGCUGGCGGCAGGCUUAACACAUGCAAGUCGAGCGCCCCGCAAGGGGAGCGGCAGACGGGUGAGUAACGCGUGGGAACGUACCCUUUACUACGGAACAACUCCGGGAAACUGGAGCUAAUACCGUAUGUGCCCUUUGGGGGAAAGAUUUAUCGGUAAAGGAUCGGCCCGCGUUGGGUUAGCUAGUUGGUGGGGUAAAGGCCUACCAAGGCGACGAUCCAUAGCUGGUCUGAGAGGAUGAUCAGCCACAUUGGGACUGAGACACGGCCCAAACUCCUACGGGAGGCAGCAGUGGGGAAUAUUGGACAAUGGGCGCAAGCCUGAUCCAGCCAUGCCGCGUGAGUGAUGAAGGCCCUAGGGUUGUAAAGCUCUUUCACCGGUGAAGAUAAUGACGGUAACCGGAGAAGAAGCCCCGGCUAACUUCGUGCCAGCCGCCGCGGUAA